ACGCUGGCGGCGUGCCUAAUACAUGCAAGUCGAGCGCACAGACGAGGCGCUUGCUCCUCUGACGUUAGCGGCGGACGGGUGAGUAACACGUGGAUAACCUACCUAUAAGACUGGGAUAACUUCGGGAAACCGGAGCUAAUACCGGAUAAUAUAUUGAACCGCAUGGUUCAAUAGUGAAAGACGGUUUUGCUGUCACUUAUAGAUGGAUCCGCGCCGCAUUAGCUAGUUGGUAAGGUAACGGCUUACCAAGGCAACGAUGCGUAGCCGACCUGAGAGGGUGAUCGGCCACACUGGAACUGAGACACGGUCCAGACUCCUACGGGAGGCAGCAGUAGGGAAUCUUCCGCAAUGGGCGAAAGCCUGACGGAGCAACGCCGCGUGAGUGAUGAAGGUCUUCGGAUCGUAAAACUCUGUUAUUAGGGAAGAACAAAUGUGUAAGUAACUAUGCACGUCUUGACGGUACCUAAUCAGAAAGCCACGGCUAACUACGUG
RNAcentral lists this ribosomal RNA (492 nucleotides) under uncultured bacterium. Its description in RNAcentral is "partial 16S ribosomal RNA". It matches the Rfam family "Bacterial small subunit ribosomal RNA", at positions 33 to 507 of the family's 1533-position model. The record is from RNAcentral.